AGGCUUCCAUCUGGCAGUGAGAAACCAGCUUCUCCCGUUGGGCUGUCCGAAGAUGACGCCCGUGUGCUGAGAGUCGUCGGCGACGAAGGGACCCUGGAAGUCGUCGAAGGUCACGCGGUACAAAAGCGUGUCGCAGUCGACAUCGCACCCGUCUAAGAAGUGCAUGCAUGGCGGAGGCGCUUCUAAAGUUGCGUCAUCUCGACGCAGCCGCCACACGGGAGAAAUGUCCGGGUCCGAAUCGCCUGCUUCUGGGCGCACGGCUGUUCCCCAGGCGUCCACUGCAGCCACCGAGGGCACGACCUCGGGGAAGCAGUGCAGGCACGCCUAUCUCGCGCGCAUCGCGGAAGCCCAGGAGCGCUUGACUCAACUGAGGGAGCAGCAGGCAGCUGAGGACACCAGUUUUCGUACCCAAGUACUGAAUCGCUUUGAAGAGGCUCACGCCACUACGUCUCGCCAGAUAGCCAUCGCGGAGCACCAGGGACGGGUCAUGGAUGAGUUGGCGGCAACCAUGCAGAACAUCUUACGACUACUUGUGGGAGACAAGCAGCAGCCGCCUCCAAGAAACCCGAGGCAGUGAUUUUAGCUGUUUGUUUGCUUGCCUCCAAUUCUCUGCGUAUUGAUGCACGUAAUCAAUUUAUUCUACACAAGAAGGGCUUGCUGAUACCAUACACGUAUUGUGUUAGUAAAAUAGACGGACAAAAUAAAAUCGAAUUGCGCAUGAAAA
Molecule: non-coding RNA, 724 nt
Organism: Dermacentor albipictus
Lineage: Eukaryota; Metazoa; Arthropoda; Arachnida; Ixodida; Ixodidae
Source: RefSeq, a predicted model, not a curated record